RNAcentral lists this ribosomal RNA (253 nucleotides) under uncultured bacterium. RNAcentral's name for it is "partial 16S ribosomal RNA". It matches the Rfam family "Bacterial small subunit ribosomal RNA", at positions 524 to 776 of the family's 1533-position model. The record is from RNAcentral.
UACGAAGGGGGCUAGCGUUGCUCGGAAUCACUGGGCGUAAAGGGUGCGUAGGCGGGUAUUUAAGUCAGGGGUGAAAUCCUGGAGCUCAACUCCAGAACUGCCUUUGAUACUGAGUAUCUUGAGUACGGGAGAGGUGAGUGGAACUGCGAGUGUAGAGGUGAAAUUCGUAGAUAUUCGCAAGAACACCAGUGGCGAAGGCGGCUCACUGGCCCGGUACUGACGCUGAGACGCGAAAGCGUGGGGAGCGAACCGG